RNAcentral lists this microRNA precursor (98 nucleotides) under Gorilla gorilla gorilla (western lowland gorilla). RNAcentral describes it as "miRNA (ENSGGOG00000042132.1)". The record is from RNAcentral. Lineage: Eukaryota; Metazoa; Chordata; Mammalia; Primates; Hominidae.
AGGUGGGAGGAUGACUUGAGCCUGGGAGGUGGAGGUUGCAGUGAGCUGAGAUCACGCCACUGUACUCAAGCCUGGGCGACAGAGCCAGACUCUGUCUC